This 380-nucleotide ribosomal RNA is filed under the name uncultured eukaryote. Its description in RNAcentral is "partial 18S ribosomal RNA". It matches the Rfam family "Eukaryotic small subunit ribosomal RNA", at positions 592 to 976 of the family's 1831-position model. The record is from RNAcentral.
CAAUAGCGUAUAUUAAAGUUGUUGCGGUUAAAAAGCUCGUAGUUGGAUUUCUGCCGAGGACGUCCGGUCCACCCUCUGGGUGUGUACAUGGCACGGCCUGGGCAUCUUCUUGGGGUACGUAUCUGCACUUGACUGUGUGGUGCGGAAUCCAGGACUUUUACUUUGAGGAAAUUAGAGUGUUUCAAGCAGGCACGCGCCUUGAAUACAUUAGCAUGGAAUAAUAAGAUAGGACCUCGGUUCUAUUUUGUUGGUUUCUAGAGCUGAGGUAAUGAUUAAUAGGGAUAGUUGGGGGCAUUCGUAUUUAACUGUCAGAGGUGAAAUUCCUGGAUUUGUUAAAGACGGACUACUGCGAAAGCAUUUGCCAAGGAUGUUUUCAUUGA